AGAGUUUGAUCCUGGCUCAGGAUGAACGCUAGCGGCAGGCUUAAUACAUGCAAGUCGAGGGGGCAGCAAUGUCACCGGCGAACGGGUGCGUAACGCGUAUGCAACCUGGCCAUAUCAGGGGGAUAGCCCUAGGAAACUGGGAUUGAUACCGCAUAACAUAAACUUCGGCAUCGGGGUUUAUUGAAAGAUUUAUCGGAUAUGGAUGGGCAUGCGUAGGAUUAGUUAGUUGGUGAGGUAACGGCUUACCAAGACGAUGAUCCUUAGGGGCUCUGAGAGGAGUAUCCCCCACACUGGCACUGAGAUACGGGCCAGACUCCUACGGGAGGCAGCAGUAGGGAAUAUUGGGCAAUGGAGGCAACUCUGACCCAGCCAUGCCGCGUGCAGGAAGACGGUCCUCUGGAUUGUAAACUGCUUUUGAAUGGGAAGAACACCACCCUUGCGAGGGUGAUUGACGGUACUAUUAGAAUAAGCACCGGCUAACUCCGUGCCAGCAGCCGCGGUAAUACGGAGGGUGCAAGCGUUAUCCGGAUUUAUUGGGUUUAAAGGGUGCGUAGGCGGCUUUAUAAGUCUGGGGUUAAAGGCAGCAGCUCAACUGUAUGCAUGCCCUGGAAACUGUGAAGCUUGAGUGACUUGGAGGUAGCUGGAAUUCCCUGUGUAGCGGUGAAAUGCAUAGAUACGGGGAGGAAUACCGAUUGCGAAGGCAUGUUACUACGAGUAAACUGACGCUGAUGCACGAAAGCGUGGGGAUCAAACAGGAUUAGAUACCCUGGUAGUCCACGCCGUAAACGAUGAUUACUAGUUGUUGGUCGAUAGAUCAGUGACCAAGGGAAACCGAUAAGUAAUCCACCUGGGGAGUACGCCGGCAACGGUGAAACUCAAAUGAAUUGACGG
This 891-nucleotide ribosomal RNA is filed under the name uncultured bacterium. Its description in RNAcentral is "bacterial SSU rRNA". It matches the Rfam family "Bacterial small subunit ribosomal RNA", at positions 8 to 916 of the family's 1533-position model. The record is from RNAcentral.